This is a long non-coding RNA of Mustela erminea (ermine), 195 nucleotides long. RefSeq lists it as uncharacterized. NCBI's taxonomy places the organism in Eukaryota, Metazoa, Chordata, Mammalia, Carnivora, Mustelidae. The record is from RefSeq and is a predicted model, not a curated record. The transcript has 2 exons.
CGGGGUGUGGGUGAGGCCCCUCACGGACGCUCCCGCUCAGGAUUUAUCCAACAGUCAGGUCGAAUGAGUGAACAAAACUGAGCACUGAGCUUUUAUCCAACUCAGACAUUUGCCGUUCUUGGGGAGGACUGCACUCUCAAAGACCUGUUUCUCCCAAGUUCCUAGUGUCUGUUUAAUAAAUCAUGUGAAAAAUAA